GAUGAACGCUGACAGAAUGCUUAACACAUGCAAGUCAACUUGAAUUUGGGUUUUUAACUUAGGUUUGGGUGGCGGACGGGUGAGUAACGCGUAAAGAACUUGCCUCACAGCUAGGGACAACAUUUGGAAACGAAUGCUAAUACCUAAUAUUAUGAUAAUAGGGCAUCCUAUAAUUAUGAAAGCUAUACGCGCUGUGAGAGAGCUUUGCGUCCCAUUAGCUAGUUGGAGAGGUAACGGCUCACCAAGGCGAUGAUGGGUAGCCGGCCUGAGAGGGUGAUCGGCCACAAGGGGACUGAGACACGGCCCUUACGCCUACGGGAGGCAAGAGUGGGGAAUAUUGGACAAUGGACCGAGAGUCUGAUCCAGCAAUUCUGUGUGCACGAUGAAGUUUUUCGGAAUGUAAAGUGCUUUCAGUUGGGAAGAAACAAAUGACGGUACCAACAGAAGAAGUGACGGCUAAAUACGUG
RNAcentral lists this ribosomal RNA (467 nucleotides) under uncultured bacterium. Its description in RNAcentral is "partial 16S ribosomal RNA". It matches the Rfam family "Bacterial small subunit ribosomal RNA", at positions 28 to 507 of the family's 1533-position model. The record is from RNAcentral.